This 3363-nucleotide long non-coding RNA is filed under the name Mytilus galloprovincialis (Mediterranean mussel). The record is from RNAcentral. Lineage: Eukaryota; Metazoa; Mollusca; Bivalvia; Mytilida; Mytilidae.
CAAUAUCGCACUGUCAUAAACAUGAUCACGGAUGGGUUAUACAUGGUGUGUAAAAUCCAAGACUAUUGCGUAGAAUCUCGUUCUCGUUGGAAGUAGAGCCUCUGCAAUAUCGAUGGAUUUUUUUAUUCAAUAAGAACUUAUCAGGUAAUUUUUUACAGCAAUUUAGUUUUGAACGGUGGUAAUUUGCUUUGAUUAUUGAUUUUAUGUUCGCCUAAUACGGAGAUAUUAGUUUUUAUCGUCAUCUGUAAUAACAUGUGGUUUAUCAAUGAAACGAAACAGGGAAUACAUGUUAAGGACACAUUCAUACAUUUACCUAAAAAAAAAAGAUUUUUCCGUGACAUGUCAUUCAUUGAAUAUAAAUUGUAGAAAAAAUAACUUAUUAUUGAGUACAUAAUUUGCUAGUAGCUAGUAAUUAUACACCUGUUAUAUUUAAAUGUCGAUACCUUUUAAAGUUUAAGGACAAGAGGUAAAGAUCAAAUAAUUGUUUUUGCUUCAUUUCACCGAAAUCCAUUGACUCUACACCUUAUUACACAAUUGAUUUUAUGUCAACAAUUUUACAUUAUAUUUAUUGAUUUUUAAAUGUACUUUGUUUGUAAAUUUAAAUAACUAAACUUGCUACACUUCGAAUCGUUAUUUUGAAAUGUGAAUCAUCUGUUUUCCACACUAAACAUAAUAGUUACAGUUGCGUGGUUAUUUGUAAAAACGUUUUUAAACAACUGCACUUCAUUUUCACUGUUUUAGCCAUAUUAUUCUUAAAGAAACCUCCCUGUCAUUGUAAACUACCACGCCCUCUUUAUCUUCAAUAAGAAACACCUGCACAGGUCCAGGUAAAAGGACGUAGAAAUUAAUUUACAGACUUUGUAUAGAGGUGGCAAAUUAUCAAGGUUAAAAAGAAAGAUACACGUAUGAACAGGUGAAAUCUACAUAGUUAGAUGCCUACAUUAUUGAUGAUAAAUAUAUCAAUAAUAAAGUGUGAAAUCUAAAAUAACAUUGAUUUAGGUAAAUAAUUAUCUACAGUAUGUAAUGAAAUGAAUUUGUUUUGUUUUGUAUACUUAGAUGUGGAUCACUGAUGAAGAGAACCAAAAGAUGAUUUGUUAUUAUUAAAGGUAUGAACUAUUCUCUGUUCUACAUUUUACAGCAAACAUUGCUUAUAUUACAUGCCCUUCAUUCUAACAAUGGUUGAUAUUUUAUAUAUACGUGUAUAUACUCUUAAUUAAAAGUUAAGGUUUAUACAAAAAUAAUCAAUUUAUUCCUAGAAAAUGGCUUAGUGGCUUGAACAAUGUACGACAACAAUUUUAGUUCAUAGCUCUCGCUGUGAUUUCUCCCAUUUUUGCGCAAGUUUUUAAUUUUUGCAAUAAAUAAUGUGAGUGACCCUCCAAACUGCAGCUUGAAAUGAAAUUUAAAAUUUGAAUGAAGACAACGUUUUUUAAAAUUCAUAUCUUGAACAAUGGGUUCAUGUCCAAGCGACGAAUUCGAAACGAGCCACUUUUUAUAUAUGACACAUUUAGCAGAUACUCGCUGUUUAAGCUGGUUAUAGGCUGACUACUACACGUGUGUUCAUAAUCUCAGUUAAAUACAGGCGGAUUCCAGUUUACUCUCUGUUGAGCAGAUGCUAUUAUACAGAAUUGUACAUACUAAAAAGUUUUUAUGAGAUUGCAUAACAGUUUGUCAACCAUUCAAUUUCUGUACAGCGUCGCUGUACUCAAUUUAUCAAACUUUCAAUUCAUAUAGCCUUUCAAAUAAGCCUAACUCUUCAAUCAUUACAUCAUUUAUUAGAUACAUUUUAUCUAAUUUCGGAUUUGUAUAACAUAGAAACGCAAGCUCACAAAAGCUUUAUUCCGACAAGAAAAAUAGAUCCAUUUCGAUUCGGUACAUGUACAUCAGUCAUUCGUCUCGGAUAGAAGGAGAGUAGCGGAUUCUACCGAGGUUUGCCGAAUGGUACAUCAGUUUCUCAACCAUUUAUGAAUACGUAGAUAUCGCUGAGCUCAUUUAUCAACCCGUCAGUUUAUAUUAGAGCUUUUUAGUUGCCACCAAUACUUCAACCAUUUAUUUGUUACACAGUCAUCUUGCAGAGUCGACCAUUCAGUUAUAGAGACAUUUUUUCUAUGUCGAUUUAUCAACCAUUUAGAUUAUAGAACCAUUUGAAAACGACGAUUAUAACACCCUUUAUAAAAAAAAAAUACAUUUAAUGCACUAGGGAAAUAUUUUAACUAUUUAGCUGUAUUAUUUCCUUCUUUAAUAAAACUACUAUUUACACAACUUUAAACUUUACACAACUUAUCGAGUUUCUUAACGACAAAAAAGCGAUAUCAAUUUACCUAAGACAUAUAAUUCAUUUUAUCAAAUUUACAAACAGUUAAAGAAUAUUUUUGUAAAAGAUUUGAAACUCAUAUCAAUAUAAAGUAAGUCUUCAGAAAAUGCUCUUAAUAAAUGGACCCAAAGGGUUAAAUGUGGUAAAGAUAUAUGAUCAACAUUGUCUUCGUCCGAUCGGCAGUAAAACGUAUACAUGUCCUGAAGUGGGCCGUUUGUUGGUUUGGGAUGAAUAAAUUGACAGCAACGUCGUCAAGUCAUAUGGGGACGUUAGAUCCUAGGAUGUCAGGCUCCAAACACGUUCAGAACCUUUACAGCAAGAACUUGAGAGGUCCGUCGGGUACCUGUUGCAAGAAUAAUAUCUAUUCCUAACCAACGUAGCAUCAUUUCCUAGUGAAAGUCCCUUUUUUUAGUCCUUCAUCUCUGUCAACCCCUAUUAAUUGUUAAUUUCUUCUUAGUACAAAGUACUUGCCACUGGACGUUAAGCAAACACCACAAACAUGCAACAAAACCCUGCCCUAUGUGCCUACUUUACAUACUCUUAGAAAGAAAACCCUACUCAACAUGAAUUCUAACAAACUCGAAUUCAACGACGUGAACCCUUCUCAAAAUGUCCUUUAAAAUUUUCUUAUAAAGCUACACGAGCAAUGCAUGAUAAUUUGUGUUUACUAUAUACAAUAUAAGAUGUGUACUCAGUAGUGCAAUUCUUAAAUUAAGAGUAAAGAGCACAUUACAAUUACUUCAAAGAGUUGUGUUGAAAUAUUUAAAAUAAGAGAAAAAAGUCAUGCUUAAUUUAAAAUGCCUUAAAUUAAAAGUAGGGUUCAUUUUCGUUGAAAAGUGCAAGAUCAAUCUUCGUUUCACACUUAUACAAUUGUUAUAUUGCAUUUUUGAUACAUGAUAAUUAUGAACAACAAAGACGUAUUAUGAAUAAUCAUUUUCAUUUCUCUUUUCAGAAAUUAUUUUUACAUAAACACGAAACAAAGACGGGCAUGAUUUAGUAAAUGUGUGAGAACCUAGAUUCUUUUGUUUAAAGGAAACAAUGAUUUUAUUUUU